Molecule: ribosomal RNA, 494 nt
Filed under: uncultured bacterium
Lineage: Bacteria
Description: partial 16S ribosomal RNA
Rfam family: Bacterial small subunit ribosomal RNA
Source: RNAcentral
GACGAACGCUGGCGGCGUGCUUAACACAUGCAAGUCGAACGGUGAAGCGCCUUCCUUUUUGGUGGGUGUGGAUGAGUGGCGAACGGGUGAGUAACACGUGAGUAACCUGCCCCCUUCUUCUGGAUAACCGCAUGAAAGUGUGGCUAAUACGGGAUAUUCUGGGUCUGUCGCAUGAUGGGUCUGGGAAAGAUAUUGUUUCGGUGGGGGAUGGGCUCGCGGCCUAUCAGCUUGUUGGUGGGGUGAUGGCCUACCAAGGCGGUGACGGGUAGCCGGCCUGAGAGGGUGGACGGUCACACUGGGACUGAGACACGGCCCAGACUCCUACGGGAGGCAGCAGUGGGGGAUAUUGCACAAUGGGCGAAAGCCUGAUGCAGCGACGCCGCGUGAGGGAUGGAGGCCUUCGGGUUGUGAACCUCUUUCGCCAGUGAAGCAGGCCUGCCUCGUUUGUGGGUGGGUUGACGGUAGCUGGAGAAGAAGCGCCGGCUAACUACGUG